Molecule: long non-coding RNA, 1229 nt
Filed under: Ananas comosus (pineapple)
Lineage: Eukaryota; Viridiplantae; Streptophyta; Magnoliopsida; Poales; Bromeliaceae
Description: long non-coding RNA (ACOM_LNC021535)
Source: RNAcentral
AAAAAUUUAGAACGGGUAGGAGAUAUAGAUGAUAUGAUUCUACUGUCACAUUUUAGAAUUGAGUUAAUACCAUACAACUUUCUGUAAACAUAUUGAAUAACGAAUAUAUUAUUACAAAGUUUAACUUUUCAUAUUUAUUCGUAUAAAAGUUCAAUGAUAUUCGUAUUUGCCUCUCUGGUUUGUUAUCUUAGAGUUCUAUUUAUUUUUUAACAAAAAAUAAGUAAAAUGAUAUUUUUAUCAUCACAAAUAUGUUUCUCUAAAAAUUUUAAUUGUUAGAGUUAUGUAAAUAUGUCCUCCCAAAAAUUUCGAACGGUCAUCUUUUUUCUUUUGACCAUCACAAAUAAUAUACGAGGGGUACGCACUAAGAGCAAUUUAUCUCAUUUACUAAUCAGGGUUAACUAUUUAUAGUUAAUUAUAUUUUUCUAACGGAUCCUCAUAGCAGGGAUAUAUUUAAAAACGUUAAGGGUGCAUUUGGUUCGCAUUAUAAAAGAUUACUAGGAAUAAAAGAUAUCCGAGAAUCUUAUUUCUAUUUAUUCUAUUACUAAGAAUGCGGAAUUUCUGUGUUUGGUUCACACGGUAAUAUUAAUUAGCCAUGUUUUUAAUAUUACAAAAAAUAUACAAUUAAUUAAUUAAUUUAUUUAUUUAAUUUUAGAUAAUGUUACCAAAAGUUUCAACAUCUUUUUAGAAAAAAGGGAGAGAGAGUAUAAGUUAGAGAGAGAAAGCAUAAUUAAAAAAAUAGAAAGAAAAAUAUAGUCGAAAUUAGAGGGAGUGAAAGAGUUGAAAUUUUAGAAAGAGAGAGAGAGAGAGAGAGAGAGAGAGAGAGAGAAAGCUUAGUUUAGAGAAAGAAAAGAAAGUUGAAUUUUAGAGAGAAAAAUAAAUUUAGAGAGAGAUAUAAGGUUAGAGUGUAAAGAAAAAUAAUAUCAAUUAGCCGGCGGGUAGGAAGAAAGAAAGAGAUUAGACAUAUUAUGAUUACCCCAAUCCAUUAAUAUGAGGAUACCCACCCUCCCUCAAGGAAAUGAGAUUAAUACUUUGGAGUGAAUCUUAUUCCCAAGUGAAUCCGAUAUUACCAACUAGAUUACUUUGUGCGUUUAGCCAAACACCGUCAUAUUUUUUUAUUCCCAUUGAAUUAUUAGGAAUCUUUAAAAGAUAGCGCGAACCAAACGCACCCUAAAAAUUUUUUUGUAAAGAUAAAUAUGAAAAGUUAAAUUUUGUAGCUAUUCGAUAUGUUU